This 497-nucleotide ribosomal RNA is filed under the name uncultured bacterium. RNAcentral's name for it is "partial 16S ribosomal RNA". It matches the Rfam family "Bacterial small subunit ribosomal RNA", at positions 28 to 507 of the family's 1533-position model. The record is from RNAcentral.
GAUGAACGCUGGCGGCGUGCCUAAUACAUGCAAGUCGAGCGAACAGAUGAGGAGCUUGCUCCUCUGACGUUAGCGGCGGACGGGUGAGUAACACGUGGAUAACCUACCUAUAAGACUGGGAUAACUUCGGGAAACCGGAGCUAAUACCGGAUAAUAUAUUGAACCGCAUGGUUCAAUAGUGAAAGACGGUUUUGCUGUCACUUAUAGAUGGAUCCGCGCCGCAUUAGCUAGUUGGUAAGGUAACGGCUUACCAAGGCUACGAUGCGUAGCCGACCUGAGAGGGUGAUCGGCCAAACUGGAACUGAGACACGGUCCAGACUCCUACGGGAGGCAGCAGUAGGGAAUCUUCCGCAAUGGGCGAAAGCCUGACGGAGCAACGCCGCGUGAGUGAUGAAGGUCUUCGGAUCGUAAAACUCUGUUAUUAGGGAAGAACAAAUGUGUAAGUAACUAUGCACGUCUUGACGGUACCUAAUCAGAAAGCCACGGCUAACUACGUG